Molecule: RNA transcript, 2266 nt
Organism: Oryza brachyantha (malo sina)
Lineage: Eukaryota; Viridiplantae; Streptophyta; Magnoliopsida; Poales; Poaceae
Exons: 3
Source: RefSeq, a predicted model, not a curated record
GCAAUCGGAUCUAAAAGAACAACGACGCGGGGAAGAGAUGAGGAGUGAAAUGGCCAUGACCAUGCCGUGUUCCUCCGCCGUCACCAUCACCGCCGCCGCCGCCGCCGCCCCCUCCUCCUCCUCGCACCCGGAGGUCCCCCGGCUCAGGGCCAGGCCCGGGCCUCUCCGCCUGAGACCUGCCGCCCCACGCUGCUCCUCCACCUCAUACAACGGCUGGGCUGACCUCGCCGCCGAGCCCGACCUAGCUUUCCCUCUCCAGCCAUCACAUACCCUGUUGCCGCUCUUCCUCCUCCCAGUCGCCGCCCUCUCCCUCCCCCCGCCUCCCUCCCCUCCCUCUCCUUGCCGCCGCUUUUGCCGCCGGAUUCGCCACCAGACACCUCGCCUCCACUCCCACCCACUCCCAUCGUCUGGCCGCCCUCCUCGCCGAUCUCGACGCCCAGCUCCGCGCCCUCAGCUCCUCCUCUUCCUCCUCCGACCCCACCAUUCUCCUCGACGCCGCCAAUCAACUGCGCGAUGCCACCCGGCUGGCUGCACAGGGUGGCAGCACCACCAUGUUCGGGGACGCGGUGAAGGAGGCCGCCAGUUAUUUUGCUAGCUUGGCACGGGACACCAUGCGGGACCUCACCUUCAGCUCCCCACGGAAGAAGCCCAAGGAGACCAAGGCUGCGGCUGCGGCAGCGCUCACCCUGGACACAGCUAAUUCUCCCAGUCCUCAAGCUCAACAACAAGAGGAUGGGAACGAACUAUUGGGUUCAGCAACAAAUGCUAACACAACACACACUGAAGACAAGCCACUGGCCGCCCGUAGUGCGAGGGGCAGUCCAAUUGCACUUGACAUGCUCCCAUUCGACAUGGAUGACCAUGGAUUGGAUGAUCCAGGGUUCGGUGCUCACAGGAAAGAAGAUGAUGGAGUGGAAAGAAUGGUGUCCAAGCGCAGGUAUGGGCGUCACACCGUGCGGAAUGAUUGUUUUCAACAAGGCAGACUUGCAGCUGAGUCCAUGGAGUCGCCAUUACUCGAGAGGACACUCGAAAUUCGGGACAGAUCCUACAGGUUGAAGAUUGAGUGUCGUGGUAGCAAGAGCCAACCAAAUGAAGCACGACAGGGGGCAUCUGAUCACAUUGUUGAUAACCCCACUAGCUCUAAAAGUAUAGAUGAUGAAAGUAUUGCCAUGGAUUCAGAUGGCGAGGAGUUCAGCCACAAUGUCAUUGAGGCAGCAGAGGUUUUAAGGAAGGCAAGGGAAUGCAUGAUGGCCAGAGAUGAUGAAGAGACUGCAGAUUCACUGCUGUACAAAUCAGCUAGGCUUCUUUCAACAGCCGUUGCUUUGAAGCCAUCAAGUUUAGUAGCGGUGGGUCAGCUAGGGAACACCUAUCUACUCCAUGGAGAGCUCAAGCUCAAGGUUAGUCGUGAGCUGAGAACACUCUUGGUCAAUAGCGGCGCUCUUCUAAAUGGAAGAUACCGUGUUUCACGUUCGAGGAAGCUGGACAGAAGAAUCUUAAGCAGAGAAAACAUAUCCUCUGCCUUAAUUGAUGUUUGUGAAGAGUGUGAAAGCCUUCUUGUUGAGGCUGGGAGAAGCUAUAGGAUGGCCCUAUCGAUUGAUUCUAGUGACGUCAAGGCACUGCACAACUGGGGACUAGCACUUAUCUUUCGUGCCCAGCUACUUGCUGAUAUUGGACCGGAAGCAGCAGUUGAUGCUGACCAAGUUUAUUUGGCUGCAAUCGAUAAAUUUGAUGCGAUGUUGUCCAAAAGCAACACAUAUGCUCCAGAAGCUCUCUACAGAUGGGGCAUUGCACUGCAGCAGCGAUCAUAUCUCCGUUCUGGAAACAACAAGGAGAAGAUAAGGCUUCUGGAACAGGCAAAGAGUAUGUUUGAAGACGUUCUGUAUGUAGAAGCAGAUAACAAGACGGUAAGAGAAGCGCUAUCAUCAUGCAUAGCAGAGCUCAAUUACCAUGGGCGAUGGUUAUAGCCCUCAAUUUGGCUACGGUGAAAUCCGUUUGUGUGAAGUUUGAUGAUCCCUAAUGUGUUGUGAAUUGUGGUCGUACGGCUUCUUUUGUUUCCUGCGUGCAAUUGUUAUUCUGCCGUACGGGAGUUGGGACUUGACUCUUAGGAUAUUACUGUGUCAUCAAAUAAAACAAUAGAUAAAUAAAUAAAUAAAAGCGAUCAUGAACAAUUGUGUAAAUUGCGGCCAGUACCCGGUUAUAUUGUUUUGGUGAAGAAAAAACACCGACUACUGACAAUACCCGGUUAUAAUUGUGUUGAUUGCAUGUC